UUAGAGUUUGAUUCCUGGCUCAGGACGAACGCUGGCGGCGUGCUUAACACAUGCAAGUCGAACGGAAAGGCCCUUCGGGGUGCUCGAGUGGCGAACGGGUGAGUAACACGUGGGUGAUCUGCCCUGCACUUUGGGAUAAGCCUGGGAAACUGGGUCUAAUACCGAAUAGGACCACGGCAUUCAUGUGCUGUGGUGGAAAGCUUUUGCGGUGUGGGAUGGGCCCGCGGCCUAUCAGCUUGUUGGUGGGGUAAUGGCCUACCAAGGCGACGACGGGUAGCCGGCCUGAGAGGGUGACCGGCCACACUGGGACUGAGAUACGGCCCAGACUCCUACGGGAGGCAGCAGUGGGGAAUAUUGCACAAUGGGCGCAAGCCUGAUGCAGCGACGCCGCGUGAGGGAUGACGGCCUUCGGGUUGUAAACCUCUUUCAGUACCGACGAAGCGCGAGUGACGGUAGUACAGAAGAAGACCGCCAACAC
RNAcentral lists this ribosomal RNA (478 nucleotides) under Mycobacterium sp. MSZ23t. RNAcentral's name for it is "bacterial SSU rRNA". It matches the Rfam family "Bacterial small subunit ribosomal RNA", at positions 1 to 503 of the family's 1533-position model. Lineage: Bacteria; Bacillati; Actinomycetota; Actinomycetes; Mycobacteriales; Mycobacteriaceae. The record is from RNAcentral.